UGGAGCAAUGAUGACUGCUGUGACAUAUGGGACCUACAGGAUUAAUCCCUGUCCGGAACGCUGAGGUCCAG
This is a small nucleolar RNA of Camelus dromedarius (Arabian camel), 71 nucleotides long. NCBI's taxonomy places the organism in Eukaryota, Metazoa, Chordata, Mammalia, Artiodactyla, Camelidae. The record is from Ensembl.